CCGACUUUGCGAACUAGUUGUUUGCCGAACACAUUCUUGUGGCUUUCAAAUGAUUUCUGUACCUUCAAAUAGCUUCUAAUCGGACACAGAAGGAAAAAAAAAUAUCAGGGUUUACAGUGCAGUUUCCUUCCUCGCGAACCGAAGGGGGAGGGGGGCAAGUUCCAUGGAAGUUUGUUCCAUUCCCUCGUUCUUUGUCGUUGUUUGCCGAACAUGUCUUUGAAAAUGCCAGACAAACUCGUGCGGGGUUCACACACAUAAACUUGGUUCUUAGUCUUGGAUCUGGAGACACAGAAUCGUGUUUGUUGGAGUUGAAGUUGGAUUUGUUUGUGCGGUGUGAAUGUAAACAUUGCAAUGCAAGACUCAAAGCUGCACAGGUCUCAACACAGAAGAGACAGACAGACAGCUUCAUAAAGACUUCAACAUGCUGGACCAGAGAUGAUCCUCAGCAUUAACUUGCCUACAAAAGAGGAAAGUAGGGAUGGCCAAAUAUAAGGUGGAACAAGGCUCUGGGAAAGGAUUGAAGCCAGAACAACUGAAGUGACGUGCCCUGAGAGAAGUCCUGACACACUGUCAGUGUCACAACUUUCUACUCUACUCUGAAGAAACCAGGACCUGGACAACACCUCACUUCUCUGAGUUCUUCAGGACCAGAAAUUCUUCAACCUGCUGAAGUCUGUGGCCAGAGAAGUGCAACUCUGACAACAGCAGUUUUUUUCUUCUUGUACAUGGAGCAAAACAAGACCCAAAUAGACUGUACAACUUCUGUGAGUUCCUCAACACCAAGAAGCUUUGAACAUGUCUACAAUGUGGUAGGACAAACUUGCAGUAUAAUACUUGUCCUGUAGGCCCAGAUAUGGCAGAUACUACAAUGUAAAUUGUAUGGUAGUUUUGCACAUUCUUACCUACUGACUGUAAAGUUUGAUGAUUUCAUGCUUGCUUUGCUAUAAACAGUGUGUUAUGACAAAUUACAGGCAUAUAGAUAAAGUCAUCAGCAUGCAUAAAAAUCCAGGUACAAUUAUGUCAUUAAUAGAAUGUUUUACACA
Molecule: long non-coding RNA, 1043 nt
Organism: Branchiostoma floridae (Florida lancelet)
Lineage: Eukaryota; Metazoa; Chordata; Leptocardii; Amphioxiformes; Branchiostomatidae
Exons: 5
Source: RefSeq, a predicted model, not a curated record